GACGAACGCUGGCGGCGUGCCUAAUACAUGCAAGUAGAACGCACAGUUUAUACCGUAGCUUGCUACACCAUAGACUGUGAGUUGCGAACGGGUGAGUAACGCGUAGGUAACCUGCCUGGUAGCGGGGGAUAACUAUUGGAAACGAUAGCUAAUACCGCAUAAUAUUAAUUAUUGCAUGAUAAUUAAUUGAAAGGUGCAAUUGCACCACUACCAGAUGGACCUGCGUUGUAUUAGCUAGUAGGUGAGGUAACGGCUCACCUAGGCGACGAUACAUAGCCGACCUGAGAGGGUGAUCGGCCACACUGGGACUGAGACACGGCCCAGACUCCUACGGGAGGCAGCAGUAGGGAAUCUUCGGCAAUGGACGAAAGUCUGACCGAGCAACGCUGCGUGAGUGAAGAAGGUUUUCGGAUCGUAAAGCUCUGUUGUAAGAGAAGAACGGGUGUGAGAGUGGAAAGUUCACACUGUGACGGUAUCUUACCAGAAAGGGACGGCUAACUACGUG
Molecule: ribosomal RNA, 505 nt
Filed under: uncultured bacterium
Lineage: Bacteria
Description: partial 16S ribosomal RNA
Rfam family: Bacterial small subunit ribosomal RNA
Source: RNAcentral